Molecule: non-coding RNA, 145 nt
Organism: Caenorhabditis elegans
Lineage: Eukaryota; Metazoa; Nematoda; Chromadorea; Rhabditida; Rhabditidae
Source: Ensembl
GAUGGUUAGACACCAUUGGAAAGGUAAAAAGAAUGAGGGUGCCAUUAUAACCCCUUGAUGCCCUUUUUGGUCUUGGAGGUCAUUGCACCUCUUUUCUUCAUCGUAUUUUUUCUCGAGUAGGUACAUCGACGCCACAAGUACAUAC